This 1071-nucleotide ribosomal RNA is filed under the name Pediococcus acidilactici. Its description in RNAcentral is "partial 16S ribosomal RNA". It matches the Rfam family "Bacterial small subunit ribosomal RNA", at positions 1 to 1040 of the family's 1533-position model. Lineage: Bacteria; Bacillati; Bacillota; Bacilli; Lactobacillales; Lactobacillaceae. The record is from RNAcentral.
CAUCASSSRGRRMRAGGAUGAGAGRWGSGSKCUAUMRUGCAGUCGACGAACUUCCGUUAAUUGAUCAGGACGUGCUUGCACUGAAUGAGAUUUUAACACRAAGUGAGUGGCGGASGGGUGAGUAACACGUGGGUAACCUGCCCAGAAGCRGGGGAUAACACCUGGAAACAGAUGCUAAUACCGUAUAACAGAGAAAACCGCCUGGUUUUCUUUUAAAAGAUGGCUCUGCUAUCACUUCUGGAUGGACCCGCGGCGCAUUAGCUAGUUGGUGAGGUAACGGCUCACCAAGGCGAUGAUGCGUAGCCGACCUGAGAGGGUAAUCGGCCACAUUGGGACUGAGACACGGCCCAGACUCCUACGGGAGGCAGCAGUAGGGAAUCUUCCACAAUGGACGCAAGUCUGAUGGAGCAACGCCGCGUGAGUGAAGAAGGGUUUCGGCUCGUAAAGCUCUGUUGUUAAAGAAGAACGUGGGUGAGAGUAACUGUUCACCCAGUGACGGUAUUUAACCAGAAAGCCACGGCUAACUACGUGCCAGCAGCCGCGGUAAUACGUAGGUGGCAAGCGUUAUCCGGAUUUAUUGGGCGUAAAGCGAGCGCAGGCGGUCUUUUAAGUCUAAUGUGAAAGCCUUCGGCUCAACCGAAGAAGUGCAUUGGAAACUGGGAGACUUGAGUGCAGAAGAGGACAGUGGAACUCCRUGUGUAGCGGUGAAAUGCGUAGAUAUAUGGAAGAACACCAGUGGCGAAGGCGGCUGUCUGGUCUGUAACUGACGCUGAGGCUCGAAAGCAUGGGUAGCGAACAGGAUUAGAUACCCUGGUAGUCCAUGCCGUAAACGAUGAUUACUAAGUGUUGGAGGGUUUCCGCYCUUCAGUGCUGCAGCUAACGCAUUAAGUAMUCCGCCUGGGGGAGUACGACCGCAAGGUWGAAACUCAAAAAGAAUUGACGGGGGGCCCGCACAAGCGGUGGAGCAUGUGAUUUAAUUCGAAKCUACGCGAGACYCWUUACCAGGGUCUUUGACAUCUUCCUGCCCGAUCUAGAGAUUAGCGAUCYCUUGCGGGCACCAGACUUMACCAG